RNAcentral lists this long non-coding RNA (1246 nucleotides) under Gallus gallus (chicken). Its description in RNAcentral is "lncRNA (ENSGALG00010028665.1)". The record is from RNAcentral. Lineage: Eukaryota; Metazoa; Chordata; Aves; Galliformes; Phasianidae.
CUCAAGCAUCUCUAUUUGGGACCGGAGUCCCCCCAUCGCUGUCCCCUUUGGGGUCGGGGCUGUGCUGGGGCCAGCGUGGCCAGCUGUAACCGGACCCCCGGGCAGCCCUGACCCGCUCACGUAACGCCCUCUGCUUAUGCAAUGCCUCCCAGCGCUGCUAGAAGGGACAUCCAACACUGCCGCAAUUACCCGGCCCUUCAUCAGCCGCAACCAGGCUAAUUGGAUGGAGAACCGCUGGUGGGCUGGGGAAGGAGCGGCCAUCCCCCCCCCCCCCACCACCACCCUAUGGGUGUCCCCGUGCAAUUAGCGCCCACCGAACCCUCAUUAGAGGUCGGUGCCACCCCACGGCCGUGCUGUGCCCCCGAGCAUCCCCACGGCGCGGGCGCCACCACCCCUCAUCCCCAUCCCUGCAGCGCGGCGAUGCCCGAAGUAGCUGCCCCCCGUGACGUCUCCCAGCGCCCGGGCAGCAAAGCUGGGCUGUGGCACCUGGCUGCAGAGCCCCGACGCAGCUCGUCACACGAGGGAUGCUGAGCCCCACCGCAGAACUGCAGCGCAGCACAUGGGUGGGUGCUGCAGCUCAGAGCCCCAACACAGCUCGUGGUGUGAAGGACGCAGAGCCCUUCUGCAGAGCCCCGGCACAGCUCAUGACGUGAGUGACGCUGAGCCCCACCGCAGAGCCCCGGCGCAGCUCGUGACAUGAGGGAUGCAGAGCCCUGCAGCAGAGCCCCGACCCACCUCAUGACACGAGCGAUGCGACACCGAGCCCCGACGCAGCUCAUCACACGAGGGACACCACUCUCCCCCCACCUCCCCCCGCACGGCUUUGGGGUUUGGGCCCCCCCGGCCCCCCCUCUCCCCGCACCGCCCCAAUCGUCUGCAGCGCCGUAAUGAGGAGAUAAACAGGAAGGAGCGGGGAGCCCCGAUGGGACACAUGAAAGCAGAGCAGGGCGAUGCGUGGGGGCUUUUCUUCCCACUUCUUUCUGCUGAAUCCCACAUUUUUCCUCCUCCCCCCUCCCCUCUCCCGCUCCAUUAAUGAGGUUUUGCUGCAGAAGUCUCUGUCUCGGCCUUGAGUUAAUCUCCAGAUGCCUUCAAAGGGGUUCUGUUCCCGUUCUCUUCCUUCCCCCCCUCCCCGUAUCCAUCGCUUCGAGAUGCUGAGCUGCAGCCCAACCCCUCCAUCCCAUCCAUGCUGCAGCCCCUCCCCAUGGGGACAGCCAUAGGGACAGCCAUAGGGACAGCCAUAGGGACA